UGGGAGUUAGCUAAGUCAGUAAAGUGCUUGCCUGGCAAGCAAGAGGACCCAGGUUUGAUCCCCAG
Molecule: transfer RNA, 65 nt
Filed under: Cricetulus griseus (Chinese hamster)
Lineage: Eukaryota; Metazoa; Chordata; Mammalia; Rodentia; Cricetidae
Rfam family: tRNA
About the family: Transfer RNA (tRNA) molecules are approximately 80 nucleotides in length.
Source: Rfam by way of RNAcentral